GUUGAUGGCCAUAUCACUCUAAGCAUGCCUGAUCUUGUCUGAUCUCAGAAGCUAAGGAGGGUCUGGCCUGGUUAGCACUUGAGUAGGAGAUUUUAAGAUCGACACACAACAAUUAAUU
Pan paniscus (pygmy chimpanzee) is the source of this 118-nucleotide ribosomal RNA. Lineage: Eukaryota; Metazoa; Chordata; Mammalia; Primates; Hominidae. The record is from Ensembl.